This 450-nucleotide ribosomal RNA is filed under the name uncultured bacterium. RNAcentral's name for it is "bacterial SSU rRNA". It matches the Rfam family "Bacterial small subunit ribosomal RNA", at positions 354 to 796 of the family's 1533-position model. The record is from RNAcentral.
GUGGGGAAUAUUGGACAAUGGGCGAAAGCCUGAUCCAGCCAUGCCGCGUGUGUGAAGAAGGUCUUCGGAUUGUAAAGCACUUUAAGUUGGGAGGAAGGGCAGUAAGUUAAUACCUUGCUGUUUUGACGUUACCGACAGAAUAAGCACCGGCUAACUUCGUGCCAGCAGCCGCGGUAAUACGGAGGGAGCUAGCGUUGUUCGGAAUUACUGGGCGUAAAGCGCACGUAGGCGGCUUUGCAAGUUAGAGGUGAAAGCCCCGGGCUCAACCUGGGAACUGCCUCCAAAACUGCAUGACUAGAGUACGGUAGAGGGUAGUGGAAUUUCCUGUGUAGCGGUGAAAUGCGUAGAUAUAGGAAGGAACACCAGUGGCGAAGGCGACUACCUGGACUGAUACUGACACUGAGGUGCGAAAGCGUGGGGAGCAAACAGGAUUAGAAACCCUGGUAGUCC